AGUGAAUGCUGGCGGUAGGCCUAACACAUGCAAGUCGAACGGCAGCACAGUAAGAGCUUGCUCUUACGGGUGGCGAGUGGCGGACGGGUGGGGAAUACAUCGGAAUCUACUUUUUCGUGGGGGAUAACGUAGGGAAACUUACGCUAAUACCGCAUACGACCUACGGGUGAAAGCAGGGGAUCUUCGGACCUUGCGCGAUUGAAUGAGCCGAUGUCGGAUUAGCUAGUUGGCGGGGUAAAGGCCCACCAAGGCGACGAUCCGUAGCUGGUCUGAGAGGAUGAUCAGCCACACUGGAACUGAGACACGGUCCAGACUCCUACGGGAGGCAGCAGUGGGGAAUAUUGGACAAUGGGCGCAAGCCUGAUCCAGCCAUACCGCGUGGGUGAAGAAGGCCUUCGGGUUGUAAAGCCCUUUUGUUGGGAAAGAAAAGCAGCAGGUUAAUACCCCGCUGUUCUGACGGUACCCAAAGAAUAAGCACCGGCUAACUUCGUG
RNAcentral lists this ribosomal RNA (492 nucleotides) under uncultured bacterium. RNAcentral describes it as "partial 16S ribosomal RNA". It matches the Rfam family "Bacterial small subunit ribosomal RNA", at positions 29 to 507 of the family's 1533-position model. The record is from RNAcentral.